UAUCUCUGUAGAGUCUGCAUAUCAAUAAGCGGAGGAAAAGAAACUAACAAGGAUUCCCUUAGUAACGGCGAGUGAAGCGGGAAGAGCUCAAAUUUGAAAUCUUCAAGGUUCUACCUUGACGAAUUGUAGUUUAAAGAAGUGUUUUCUGUUAGAUGAGUAGCAAAAGUUCCUUGGAAUGGGACAUCAUAGAGGGUGAGAAUCCCGUAUUUGGUUAUUCAUUCUAGCUUUGUGAUACACUUUCGAAGAGUCGGAUUGUUUGGGAAUGCAGUCCAAAAUGGGUGGUAAAUUUCAUCUAAAGCUAAAUAUUGGCGAGAGACCGAUAGCGAACAAGUACCGUGAGGGAAAGAUGAAAAGAACUUUGAAAAGAGAGUUAAACAGUACGUGAAAUUGUCAAAAGGGAAGCGUUUGACACCAGUGUUGUUUUUCCAAAAAUCAAUUACGAAUGGCUUGAUUUUGUGUUGUAUUGACCUUAUCAGCUUUCUGCACUUUUUUCGAGUCUUUCUUAAUGCACUUUUUGGUUAACAAGUCAACAUCAAUUUCUUUUGUUGUAAAAGAGUAUUCGGAAGGUGGCUUUCUUUUCGGAGAAAGUGUUUAUAGCCCUAUACUUCUACAAUCGGAGAGAUUGAGGUCUGCAGCGUAGAUCCUUCGGGGUUAGAUACACUUGUGCUAAGUUGUAGCUUUUCAUAGACAACUUGUUGACUAUGUUUAGUCAUGCGGCUUGCUCGCUUGUGCUAUUUUACCUACGCUUAGGAUGUUGACUGAUAUGUAGUCGUA
This 774-nucleotide ribosomal RNA is filed under the name uncultured Neocallimastigales. RNAcentral's name for it is "partial large subunit ribosomal RNA". It matches the Rfam family "Eukaryotic large subunit ribosomal RNA", at positions 24 to 644 of the family's 3401-position model. The record is from RNAcentral. Lineage: Eukaryota; Fungi; Neocallimastigomycota; Neocallimastigomycetes; Neocallimastigales.